This 920-nucleotide ribosomal RNA is filed under the name uncultured bacterium. Its description in RNAcentral is "bacterial SSU rRNA". It matches the Rfam family "Bacterial small subunit ribosomal RNA", at positions 33 to 944 of the family's 1533-position model. The record is from RNAcentral.
ACGCUAGCGAUAGGCUUAACACAUGCAAGUCGAGGGGCAGCAUGGUCUUAGCUUGCUAAGACUGAUGGCGACCGGCGCACGGGUGCGUAACGCGUAUGCAACUUGCCUCACAGAGGGGGAUAACCCGUCGAAAGACGGACUAAUACCGCGUACACUUGGGAUAGGGCAUCCUGACCCAAGGAAAUGAAAUUCGCUGUGAGAUAGGCAUGCGUCCCAUUAGCUAGUUGGUGAGGUAACGGCUCACCAAGGCGACGAUGGGUAGGGGAACUGAGAGGUUGAACCCCCACACUGGUACUGAGACACGGACCAGACUCCUACGGGAGGCAGCAGUGAGGAAUAUUGGUCAAUGGGCGAGAGCCUGAACCAGCCAAGUCGCGUGAAGGAUGACUGUCUUAUGGAUUGUAAACUUCUUUUAUACGGGAAUAACAAGAGCCACGUGUGGCUCCCUGCAUGUACCGUAUGAAUAAGCAUCGGCUAACUCCGUGCCAGCAGCCGCGGUAAUACGGAGGAUGCGAGCGUUAUCCGGAUUUAUUGGGUUUAAAGGGUGCGUAGGCGGCCUGUUAAGUCAGCGGUGAAAUCUAGGAGCUUAACUCCUAAAUUGCCAUUGAUACUGGCGGGCUUGAGUGUAGAUGAGGUAGGCGGAAUGCGUGGUGUAGCGGUGGAAUGCAUAGAUAUCACGCAGAACUCCGAUUGCGAAGGCAGCUUACUAAGGUACAACUGACGCUGAAGCACGAAAGCGUGGGUAUCAAACAGGAUUAGAUACCCUGGUAGUCCACGCAGUAAACGAUGAUAACUGGGCGUAUGCGAUAUACAGUAUGCUCCUAAGCGAAAGCGUUAAGUUAUCCACCUGGGGAGUACGCCGGCAACGGUGAAACUCAAAGGGAAUUGACGGGGGCCCGCACAAGCGGAGGAACAUGUGG